Molecule: unclassified non-coding RNA, 552 nt
Filed under: Hevea brasiliensis (rubber tree)
Lineage: Eukaryota; Viridiplantae; Streptophyta; Magnoliopsida; Malpighiales; Euphorbiaceae
Source: RNAcentral
GCAGACUUUGGGUAUGCAACCGAGGGGUCUUCAACAUUCUGUGGUGUCUUCAAUUUUGGGGUGCGUAUCCUCUGGUUUAUGUCUUUCAGAGUCACGUCUCCUUGGGCGCCACACGGUUUAACAAAAGAAAAUGGAUAGACAACAGAGGAAGCAGCUUUUGUAGGAGCCCGCAUAUAUGAUCUCCUACCUUUGAAAACAACAUUUUUACGAGUUUGUACAGGGCGCUCUUGAACCACAUUAGAUUCACAUUCACGUGGGGUGUUGCAAAUCUCUGAAACAUCGAGCUGAAUAUCAGAGGCAGCGAUAUCCUCAAGGCUGACAUGCAUCUGAGAAUCGUUUAAACAACUAGCAACCCAUCCUUCAGAUGACUGAUCGAGCCCCUCAUUACCAGAUGAAGAUAUGUCCUCUGAAAAUACUGAAACCCACUGUGACAUUUCAGAGAUGAAUUCAUCAACAGAAGUGUCAGUCUCCUGCGAAUUUAGAAAUGAUGAUGAUAGUUCCUCGUUGCUAAGUGGUGCAUCUGCUGCUUCUGUAUCAAACUGAAGCAUUCUG